AAAGGGGCUUCCGGAAUGGUGACGUUCUGGGGGCCUUUUUUCUUGC
RNAcentral lists this non-coding RNA (46 nucleotides) under Nitratireductor indicus. The record is from RNAcentral. Lineage: Bacteria; Pseudomonadati; Pseudomonadota; Alphaproteobacteria; Hyphomicrobiales; Phyllobacteriaceae.